UACGUAGGGUGCAAGCGUUGUCCGGAAUUAUUGGGCGUAAAGGGCUCGUAGGCGGUCCGUCACGUCGGGAGUGAAAACUUGGGGCUUAACCCCAAGCCUGCUUCCGAUACGGGCGGACUAGAGGUAGGCAGGGGAGAACGGAAUUCCUGGUGUAGCGGUGAAAUGCGCAGAUAUCAGGAGGAACACCGGUGGCGAAGGCGCCUAUCUGGCCCGAUACUGACGCUGAGGCGCGAAAGCUAGGGGAGCAAACGGG
RNAcentral lists this ribosomal RNA (253 nucleotides) under uncultured bacterium. RNAcentral describes it as "partial 16S ribosomal RNA". It matches the Rfam family "Bacterial small subunit ribosomal RNA", at positions 524 to 776 of the family's 1533-position model. The record is from RNAcentral.